CUAGAAUUUCUGGGGAGGGGGGAAGGAAUUUUGGGUUCCCUCCCACCCAGAAUUAACAUGAACCCCAUUUCUGUUGAGCAUUACGGGGGGGGUUUUGGGGGUCUCUGUUACUCUGGGUGGUCCCAGGAGUUUUUGGGAACCUGUGCCCACCCUCCCAGGCUGCACCAACCCCUUCACGACCCCCAGACCCUCCAGGAACCCCUUCCAGAGCAGCGGCCCUGGUGAGUGACCCCCAGACCCCCCCAGUUCCCCAGCCAGGUGGGUCUGGGGGUCCCAAUUCCGUGUCCCCUCAUUUAGGAGCUGCUUUCACCUCUCCUCCCGUUCCUGGGGGCUUCCCCAGCCCCUUCCAGGCUGACGGGUCGCCUUUCGGUGGGUUCAACGUUGCCAAAGCUUCCACCAACCCCUUCGUGACCCUCCCGACCCCGGCAGUGCCGCUCGGCCUCAGGCACCGGACCACCAACCCCUUCCUAUGACCGCCGCUGCUCCGCCUCUCCCGCCGGGACCAGGUUUUAUUGUCGUUUCCGGAGAUUUAUGGCGAUAUUUAAUGUAUAAAUUCGAUAGAAACGGCGUACCCUCACUAAAGAUGGCGGCCGCGGUGACGCCGCUCCUCACGGCUUUGCCCUCGGCAAAGAUGGCGCCCCCAUAGAUCCUUACGUGCCCUCAGCCAAUAUGGCGGCAGGGGCAUCGCCGGUGAGGGCACGGCUGUGGUGGCCUGCCCUCAACAAAGAUGGCGGCGAACCCGCAAUUAACGGGGGUACCGGGGAAUUAACGGGGAGGGGGGAAGGGAAUUAAUUAACGGGGGCACCGGCGGGGGGACACCCCCAGCCCCCCGCGCGGGGCCCUGGCCGGGGUCGGCUCCUCCCGCACCUGCUGGGGAAGGGCGGAAUUAGUGAGGGGGGAUUUGGGGAGUGCGGGGCGGGGGGGCAGCGCAGCAGAGCUGGAGCGGGGGCGUCCCCUUUUUGGGCAGAGAAAGGGCGAAAACGGACAAAAAACGGACAAAAACGGAGAAAAACGGACAAAAAGCUGAGCAGUGGCAGCAGGAGAGGGGCAGCACUGAACCCCCCCCUCCCAGGUUUUGGUCUCAGCCGGUGACCGGAGUGUCACAAAGGGACAGGGAUGUACCAAGUGCAAUUUUGCGGGGGAUUUCCAUACUCGGAGAAAAAAAAAAAUCAUUAUUUUGCAGUAAUUAGAGUGACAACCGCGUAAUAGUUAAAUAUAAUAAUUUUAAUAAUAAUUAAUUACAAUAAAUUUUGGUCAUCUGCAUUUUUACGUCCCGCU
This 1278-nucleotide long non-coding RNA is filed under the name Lonchura striata (white-rumped munia). RNAcentral's name for it is "domestica (Bengalese finch) lncRNA (ENSLSDG00000006709.1)". The record is from RNAcentral. Lineage: Eukaryota; Metazoa; Chordata; Aves; Passeriformes; Estrildidae.